AGAUGAGAGAAAAACCCCGUCCGCAGGGGACUGCGGGCGAUGCCCGGUCGGCGCUUCCCCGGCUCCGAUCUGGCCGUGCCCUCGCGCACACGACCGGGACCCGUGCGAUACGGGGCUCCGGGAAUCCUCACCGAUCGGA
Molecule: small RNA, 139 nt
Organism: Streptomyces chattanoogensis
Lineage: Bacteria; Bacillati; Actinomycetota; Actinomycetes; Kitasatosporales; Streptomycetaceae
Rfam family: Streptomyces RNA 5676
About the family: Identified by deep sequencing of transcriptome at the end of exponential growth phase. Appears longer on northern blot than sequencing transcript.
Source: Rfam